GCACCAAAAUACACACACUUUGGCGGGAAAACGCAUCACCUUUUAUUUUUAUGAUUCAGCCAAUAUUUUAAUGUUCAAUUAAUGCUUCAAUUAAUGUGCUUAAAUAGAAUACAGCUGUGAUGCUGCGGUUUACUAUUCAACAGAUCAUUUUAAGAUUUUUAUUGUACAAUUUGCUGAGAUAUCUAUAAUAUACACAUUUAAAACUACAAAUUGCGGGGCUCAAGACAACAUGUAUUGCAGAGCCAAUUAAUACAAAACUUAGCCACCAAGAUAUCUUCUUUAUAUUUCCCCUCUCCCCAGCCAUUUUUUUCAUUUGCAUUCUUCUCUUUCGUUUCAUGUUUUCCUGCAGCUUCUUCUCUUUCUUUCCUCUUUUUUCUUCACCUUUUUCUUUCUUAUUUUCGGCAGCUUCUGGCUUUUGUUCUUGCCUCUUCCUUUUCUUCAUCAACUUCUUUUUUUCUUCAUCAGCUUCUUGCUUCAAUGUCUGCACCUUCUUUUCAUCAGCUUCUGCACCUUCAUUAAAAUAUUUAAUGAUGCAAAUUCAAGGCAGCUUCUUGCUUUUUUCUCUAAUAUUCUUGCUUUCAAUUUUUAUAUUUUUUUCAUUUCUACAUAAGCUUGCAUAAAUUUCUGCAUUUGUUACCUUUCUGCAUCUAUGCUUUUCUUUCUCACAGCUUCUUACAUCAUUUUCUUUCUUUUUUAUAUCUUUAGCUUUUUUCUUCCUAUUUGAUGUGUUUUUUUAUGUUUUACUGCUUCUUUAGAUUCAUUCUUUUAUUUCUUUUUUAUAUCUUCAACUUUUUUUCUUCUUCUUAUUUUAUGUGUUUCUUUCUCUUUUACUACAUAUUUACAUUGCUUUUUCCUAUUUUCUGCACUUCUAAGCAAAAUAUUAUUAUAAUCUAAUACAGACAUUUAUUAAUCUCAUAAAUGUGAUAAUGAUGAAAGGGCAAAACAUUAUCACUUUUUUUCCUAAUAUUUUUAUAAAGGCCAUUUGUUUUUUAUAUUUUGUAGCACAAGUUGUAUAUAUUAGUCCAAAGUCAAAUGAAAAUAGAACUUCUCUUAGAGCAUCCACUAUGGUGGGUUUUUUGGAGGAAGUUUGGAGGUAGUACCAUAGUGGGGGUUUUUAAAAAUGGGGUAGUAAAUUCUUGAGGUAGCAAUAUUGCUACCCGGUAGUUGUCCAAAAAAGUGGGUCCCAUGCUAAUUUUUUAUGAUUUUAGUAUGUGUAUGUGUAGUAGUAAAUAUAAUAAUAAUGAUAGUGGGGUCCAUGAAUAGUUAAAUAUGAGGUAGUGGGAUAGUGGAGAAAAUAUGAGGUAGUUGAAAAAUGAGGUAGUUGUUGAGGUGGCACACAUGUGGCACCACUAUGGGGUAGCACCAUAGUGGAUGCUCUUAUUUUCGUAAGAGAAAUUAUAUACUAUAUUCACCAUUCUCCUACUCAUUAUAUUUAUGAAGAUGGUAAGGAGGAGAGAAAUUUUAUAUCAUGUUAUUUACCAUUACUCUUAUCUUUUUGCCACAAAUGAAUAACAAGUAGAAUAUAUAAUUGCUCCUGAUGCUUCUUCUAUUUUAUGCAGGCAGCACAUAAAAGUGACAAAAUGGAUGCAACAAGAUGAAAACAAGAAAUGAUUUUUUAUUUUUUCGAUUCCAUUUAUUUUGCUUAUUAAAUAUACCGACGCGAUGCAUGGACCAUAUUGACUCAAGAAUUCUGAAUAUCUUUUUUUACACAUUGCCAUAUUGACUCAAGAAUUGUGAAAAUAGUGUCAAAUAGCCAAGUUAGAUAAACUAUUUUAAAUCACAAAAAAUCUGAUCUAAAUUUUUAAGAUAGUGAUGAUACUUUUUUUUCAAAAAAGCUGCGAGUGCUUGACAGAGACCAACGGUGGUAGUGGACUUGCCUUCCCAACGGAGUGAUACCCCCAACAACCACCUAAUACACAUCUCCACUUCCUCCAUGUUCAUCCAGCGCCGACACCAACACCUGAAAAUUAACUCUUUUUUAGUACAGACAAAGAGAUAAAACAAAAGUAAGAAUUAUGCAACAAAAAAAGUUCGAACACAAAUAGGGAAACUGUGUCAAAAGAGUAGAUGAUUGCUAAUUUUUUAUCGAAGAUGAUGAAAGAGGAGUAUAUAGCAGAUUCAUACUAAUCUGACAAAAAAAAAGAAAAAAUAAACUAUUAUUUUAAGAACCCAUUUGUGUAGAUAUUCGUAGAUCUAACAAAAUAAUACCAUAAACACAAAAAAUAAAUUAAUAACUCAAAAAUGAAAAAACUAAUAUGGCUACAAAAUUAAAGAUCUUACUCGAUAUUAAUUAAAAAAA
RNAcentral lists this long non-coding RNA (2299 nucleotides) under Salvia miltiorrhiza (redroot sage). RNAcentral's name for it is "long non-coding RNA (SMIL_LNC006797)". Lineage: Eukaryota; Viridiplantae; Streptophyta; Magnoliopsida; Lamiales; Lamiaceae. The record is from RNAcentral.